This 2992-nucleotide ribosomal RNA is filed under the name Salmonella enterica subsp. enterica serovar Typhimurium. RNAcentral describes it as "23S ribosomal RNA". It matches the Rfam family "Bacterial large subunit ribosomal RNA". The record is from RNAcentral. Lineage: Bacteria; Pseudomonadati; Pseudomonadota; Gammaproteobacteria; Enterobacterales; Enterobacteriaceae.
GGUUAAGCGACUAAGCGUACACGGUGGAUGCCCUGGCAGUCAGAGGCGAUGAAGGGCGUGCUAAUCUGCGAUAAGCGCCGGUAAGGUGAUAUGAACCGUUAUAACCGGCGAUACCCGAAUGGGGAAACCCAGUGUGAUUCGUCACACUAUCAUUAACUGAAUCCAUAGGUUAAUGAGGCGAACCGGGGGAACUGAAACAUCUAAGUACCCCGAGGAAAAGAAAUCAACCGAGAUUCCCCCAGUAGCGGCGAGCGAACGGGGAGGAGCCCAGAGCCUGAAUCAGCANNNNNNNNNNNNNNNNNNNNNNNNNNNNNGCGCGAUACAGGGUGACAGCCCCGUACACAAAAGCGCAUGUGCUGUGAGCUCGAUGAGUAGGGCGGGACACGUGGUAUCCUGUCUGAAUAUGGGGGGACCAUCCUCCAAGGCUAAAUACUCCUGACUGACCGAUAGUGAACCAGUACCGUGAGGGAAAGGCGAAAAGAACCCCGGCGAGGGGAGUGAAAAAGAACCUGAAACCGUGUACGUACAAGCAGUGGGAGCACAGGUUUACCUGUGUGACUGCGUACCUUUUGUAUAAUGGGUCAGCGACUUAUAUUCUGUAGCAAGGUUAACCGUAUAGGGGAGCCGGAGGGAAACCGAGUCUUAACCGGGCGUUAAGUUGCAGGGUAUAGACCCGAAACCCGGUGAUCUAGCCAUGGGCAGGUUGAAGGUUGGGUAACACUAACUGGAGGACCGAACCGACUAAUGUUGAAAAAUUAGCGGAUGACCUGUGGCUGGGGGUGAAAGGCCAAUCAAACCGGGAGAUAGCUGGUUCUCCCCGAAAGCUAUUUAGGUAGCGCCUCGUGAAUUCAUCUCCGGGGGUAGAGCACUGUUUCGGCUAGGGGGCCAUCCCGGCUUACCAACCCGAUGCAAACUGCGAAUACCGGAGAAUGUUAUCACGGGAGACACACGGCGGGUGCUAACGUCCGUCGUGAAGAGGGAAACAACCCAGACCGCCAGCUAAGGUCCCAAAGUCAUGGUUAAGUGGGAAACGAUGUGGGAAGGCCCAGACAGCCAGGAUGUUGGCUUAGAAGCAGCCAUCAUUUAAAGAAAGCGUAAUAGCUCACUGGUCGAGUCGGCCUGCGCGGAAGAUGUAACGGGGCUAAACCAUGCACCGAAGCUGCGGCAGCGAACGUAUCACCCAAGACAACUUUACGGAGUUGACGAUUGACGGAGCGAAGCGACGUCAAAGCGUUCAUUAAAGUCGAGUUGGCUUAGGGAUACGUUCGUUGGGUAGGGGAGCGUUCUGUAAGCCUGUGAAGGUGUGUCGUGAGGCAUGCUGGAGGUAUCAGAAGUGCGAAUGCUGACAUAAGUAACGAUAAAGCGGGUGAAAAGCCCGCUCGCCGGAAGACCAAGGGUUCCUGUCCAACGUUAAUCGGGGCAGGGUGAGUCGACCCCUAAGGCGAGGCCGAAAGGCGUAGUCGAUGGGAAACGGGUUAAUAUUCCCGUACUUGGUGUUACUGCGAAGGGGGGACGGAGAAGGCUAUGUUGGCCGGGCGACGGUUGUCCCGGUUUAAGCGUGUAGGUGUGUGUUCCAGGUAAAUCCGGUUCACUUUAACACUGAGGCGUGACGACGAGGCACUACGGUGCUGAAGCAACAAAUGCCCUGCUUCCAGGAAAAGCCUCUAAGCAUCAGGUAACACGAAAUCGUACCCCAAACCGACACAGGUGGUCAGGUAGAGAAUACCAAGGCGCUUGAGAGAACUCGGGUGAAGGAACUAGGCAAAAUGGUGCCGUAACUUCGGGAGAAGGCACGCUGACACGUAGGUGAAGUGAUUUACUCAUGGAGCUGAAGUCAGUCGAAGAUACCAGCUGGCUGCAACUGUUUAUUAAAAACACAGCACUGUGCAAACACGAAAGUGGACGUAUACGGUGUGACGCCUGCCCGGUGCCGGAAGGUUAAUUGAUGGGGUCAGCGUAAGCGAAGCUCCUGAUCGAAGCCCCGGUAAACGGCGGCCGUAACUAUAACGGUCCUAAGGUAGCGAAAUUCCUUGUCGGGUAAGUUCCGACCUGCACGAAUGGCGUAAUGAUGGCCAGGCUGUCUCCACCCGAGACUCAGUGAAAUUGAACUCGCUGUGAAGAUGCAGUGUACCCGCGGCAAGACGGAAAGACCCCGUGAACCUUUACUAUAGCUUGACACUGAACAUUGAGCCUUGAUGUGUAGGAUAGGUGGGAGGCUUUGAAGUGUGGACGCCAGUCUGCAUGGAGCCGACCUUGAAAUACCACCCUUUAAUGUUUGAUGUUCUAACGUGGACCCGUAAUCCGGGUUGCGGACAGUGUCUGGUGGGUAGUUUGACUGGGGCGGUCUCCUCCUAAAGAGUAACGGAGGAGCACGAAGGUUGGCUAAUCCUGGUCGGACAUCAGGAGGUUAGUGCAAUGGCAUAAGCCAGCUUGACUGCGAGCGUGACGGCGCGAGCAGGUGCGAAAGCAGGUCAUAGUGAUCCGGUGGUUCUGAAUGGAAGGGCCAUCGCUCAACGGAUAAAAGGUACUCCGGGGAUAACAGGCUGAUACCGCCCAAGAGUUCAUAUCGACGGCGGUGUUUGGCACCUCGAUGUCGGCUCAUCACAUCCUGGGGCUGAAGUAGGUCCCAAGGGUAUGGCUGUUCGCCAUUUAAAGUGGUACGCGAGCUGGGUUUAGAACGUCGUGAGACAGUUCGGUCCCUAUCUGCCGUGGGCGCUGGAGAACUGAGGGGGGCUGCUCCUAGUACGAGAGGACCGGAGUGGACGCAUCACUGGUGUUCGGGUUGUCAUGCCAAUGGCACUGCCCGGUAGCUAAAUGCGGAAGAGAUAAGUGCUGAAAGCAUCUAAGCACGAAACUUGCCCCGAGAUGAGUUCUCCCUGAGACUUAGAGUCUCCUGAAGGAACGUUGAAGACGACGACGUUGAUAGGCCGGGUGUGUAAGCGCAGCGAUGCGUUGAGCUAACCGGUACUAAUGAACCGUGAGGCUUAACCUU